CUGUGUAUAUGGGAUCUUGACAGUAGCAUAUGUUUUUCUCAAAGAUUAAGCCAUGCAUGUCUAAGUACACAUGUCCAGUACAGUGAAAGUGUGAAUGGCUCAUUAAAUCCAUUAUGGUUCCUUUGGUUGCUUGCUCCCUCCUACUUGGAUAACUGUGGUAAUUUUAGAGUUAAUACAUGCCGAUGAGUGCUGACCUGGGUCCCCUUCCCCCAUGGAUGGGGGCCCCCAGGGAUGCAUGCAUGCAUUCAUCAGACCAAAACCAACCCAGCAGCUUCCCCUCAACCCCACAACUUGGACCAAUUGCACACCACCCAUGGAGGUGAUGACCCAUUUGAACAUCUGCCCUAUCAACUUUAAAUGGUAGUUGCCAUACCUACCAUGGUGACCAUGGGUAAUGGGGAAUCAGGGUUUGAUUCCAGAGAGAGAGCCUGAGAAACUGCUUCCACAUCCAAGGAAGGCAGUCAGCAUGCAAAUUAUCCACUCCUGACCCAUGGAGUUAGUGACAAAAAAUAACAAUAUAGGACUGUUUUGAAGCCCUGUAAUUGGAAAGAGUACACUUCAAAUAAUUUAAUGAAGAUCCAUUGAAGGGCAAAUCUUGUGCCAGCAGUCACAGUUAUUCCAGCUCUAAUAGCAUAUAUUAAAGUUGCUGCAGUUAAAAAGCUUGUAGCUAUAUCUUGGAAUCAAGCUGGUGGUCUGCCACAAGGUGAGCCACUGCCUGUCCUAGCCCCUGCCUCUUGGCACCCCCUUGAUGCUCUUAGCUAGGUGUCCCACAAGGCCUGAAGCAUUUACUUUAAAAAAAAUUAGAGUGUUCAAAGCAGGCCUGAGUCACCUGGAUAUCCCAGCUAGGAAUAAUGGGAUUGAACCCCAGUUCUAUUUUGUUGGUUUUUAGAACUGGGGCCAGAAUUAAGAGGGAUGGCCAGGGGCACUCAUAUUGUGCCACUAGAAGUGAAAUUCUUGGCCUGGAGCAAGAUGGACCAGAGAGAAAGCAUUUGCCAAGAAUGUUUUCAUUAAUCAAGAACGAAAGUCGGAGGUUCGAAGAUGAUCAGAUACCAUCAUAGUUCCGACUAUAAAUGAUGCUGACUAGUGAUCCAGCAGCAUUAUUCCCAUGACCCACUGAGCAGCUUCCUGGAAACCAAAGUCUUUAGGUUCUG
Ribosomal RNA from Monodelphis domestica (gray short-tailed opossum), 1151 nucleotides. It matches the Rfam family "Eukaryotic small subunit ribosomal RNA", at positions 4 to 1116 of the family's 1831-position model. The record is from Rfam. Lineage: Eukaryota; Metazoa; Chordata; Mammalia; Didelphimorphia; Didelphidae.